This 63-nucleotide transfer RNA is filed under the name Argulus americanus. RNAcentral describes it as "tRNA-Asn". Lineage: Eukaryota; Metazoa; Arthropoda; Ichthyostraca; Arguloida; Argulidae. The record is from RNAcentral.
UUAAAUGAAGCUAAUUUAGCAUGUUACUGUUAAUAACAAGAUAGGAAAUAAUUCCCAUUUAAA